AUUUAUAAAUCAUUAUCUUCUCCAAUGGCAAUUGGGCUGUUGGAGCCUCUGAUUUCACCUGCUGUUCUCUCACACUAUUCUCACCCUUCACUUCUUGGAGUCACAGUGCCUAUAACAGUUUCUAAUAAACCACAAAUCAAAGCUCCAUCAACAAAAAUGGCCACUUCUGCAACUGAACCUAACACUAAAUCCAAUUCUGUCAAAACCAUUGAUUCACAUCUUCACGUCUGGGCAUCUCCUCAAGAGGUAACUCUAACCCAAUACAGUUACAGAAGCUGCUUUUUUCUUUUUCACCAAACUAGUUUUCACCAAACUAGUUUUUUCUUUCAUUUCAAAGCUAAGAUUUUUGCGUUCCUUUUCCAUCAAUAGAAACAAGUUUGUGUUUUUUUUCCAAAGUGGCUCUGUAAUUUUGCUUUUCGUAUGGGUAGUAAAGGCUGCGGAUAAAUACCCUUACUUCCCUGGCCAAGAACCCACUUUGAGUGGAGAUGUACAUUUCUUGCUUCAGGUACAUUGUUUCUUAAUACUUAUAUUUGUGUGCUUGUUUUAUGUUUGCUGUUUAUUUUGGUGGAAUAUUUGAAGCAAGAAGUUACCAUUCAUUCUCAUGGUAUAUUGGUUUCAUGUUCAAGAGCUUAUUUCAGAUAUGCAUAUAUCAGAGCAAAAUUAUGAAGUUAAAUCGAUUAUUUAGUUUGGUAGCUUGUGAAACUGUACUGAUAAAUAUUGUCAUACUAUAAUUUCAUGAGGUUUUGUGGAAAAUUAUGACUUAUAUUUAAUUCGGUUCAACUGUGGUAUUGUAUGAUGGAUUCUUGUCAAGUGAUUUCAUACAUAUAUAUUUUAUUGUGUAAAUAGUUCUGAUAUUUUGAGAAAAGUUAGUUCUUGGUGGAUAUGUGAGUGACCCCUCAAAUAUUUGACAAAAAUAUUUCCUGAUCUCCAUGAUAAUCCUAAUCUAAUUUGGAUUUUUCAUUUAUACUCUUACAGAACAUGGAAGAAGCAGGCGUAGAUGGUGCGCUAAUUGUGCAGCCCAUUAAUCAUAUGUUUGAUCAUUCUUUAGUGACAAGGUUUGUUAAGGUUGCAUGGUGUUUGCACAUUAAUAGCAAAAAUAUUUAACCCAGUUUAGAAAUUGCUAUUUUUGUAUGAAACUGCAUUAUACAAAAGUACAAUGGAUAGAAUAUUGAAGGUGCUUGAUCAAGCUGCAGCAUAUUCUUAAUGCAGCUAAUAAUGGGACUAGCAAGUGGAGUGAUGAAUUAGUGGUUAACCUCUUGUUAGGUUCAGCCUGUAGAUCUUUUGAUUCCUUCUACACUUGCAAUACAAGAGACUGAAAAACAAAGAUCAAUGAUCUGGCAGCAAAGCAUGUCUUUCUUCUCCAAUAUUUUUGAUAGGAACUGAACCAUCUGGUAUAUAUCAUCCCCAAGAUUGACUUAUUGAUUCACAUAGCCCUCAUAGGAAAGUAGAUGUUUUUCCUUCCAUCUGAUUGCAUGGACUCUUUUUCUUAAUUCGCUUUCAAUGAUUUUCAGCUCAGCACUAUAAAGUAUUGCAUGAUUUCAAAAUAUUUCAUUGGACAGUAUCCUGAAGAAGUAUCCAACCAAGUUUGUUGGUUGCUGCCUUGCAAAUCCUGCAGAAGAUGGAAUUGGACUUAAGCAGCUUGAAGAACUUGUCUUGAAGGUUUAGACCAGAUAUAAGAUAACCCUAUUACUGUAUUUGAGAGAUCAUCUUGACACUUUUUUCCUUUUCUUCCAUGUUAGGACGGUUAUCAUGCUGUUCGCUUUAAUCCAUAUUUGUGGCCAGCUGGUCAAAAGCAGUUUCAACAGCAAUGCCAAACAGGCCAUAAAUUAUUAAGCAAUAGGGUUGGACCAGGUGUGAGAGCAAUCAAUAAAAAUUUUGUUCUUGGGUUUAGCUCAAACGGAGAAGUGGUGGCAUUGGUUACUCCAGAACUCAAGUAAUGAUCUUGUGAUUCAUGAUAAUAAACUGCUAAUAUGUGAUGUAAUAUUUUUUUCCUGUACUUUUCGUUAACUAAUUGGUCUUUAAUUUUUCUUCAUCUACAGUUAGUGCAAGGUAUAAUGAUAAGAGUCAAAUGUACAAUUAUGAUAAUUGAUAAUCUGUGCAGAUGACAAAUAAUGUUGGGAAAGCAUUGUUUUGGAAAGCAGGAGAACUUGGGAUACCAGUUGGUUUCAUGUGUUUUAAGGUAUUACUGUUCACACCUCCUUUCAACCCAAAAACCGAAAAAUGAAUUAAAAAACCGAGUCCUAUGAUGCUACAUUAGUUUUUUGUGGAAACUGUCUGGGAUGGCAUUACAAGAUGAAAUUUCCAGGGACUCAAUCUUCAUAUCGCAGAAAUUCUGGAACUUUGUACAGAAUUCCCUUCUACAGUUGUAUUGAUGGAUCAUUUGGGUUUCUGCAAACCACCAAGCAAUGAUGAAGAAAGUCUCGUCUUCUCUGAGCUUCUGAAGUUAUCCAGAUUCCCACAGGUAUGGUUUAAGUGCUUGUUUUAGCUAAAAUGCAAGCAUGAGUUGUCCCAAUACUGUCAGUUGCCAUUGGUGGAGGCCAAGGCUAUUGAGACUCCAAACUGAAUCUGGAUAAUGACAGACCUCAUGAAAAUAAGAGGAGCAACAACACAUUUUAAUGGUUAAAGCUCUAAGUUAGGCACUUUCUGUUUCAAGGAACCACCAUGUAGCUGCCAAGAUGAUUUAGAGCAUUAUAGAUUUGUUGGUUCAUAAGGUUGUCGAUUUCGAGCUUUUGACAACUGCUCACGUAUCAGGAAACCCUUUCUGUCUGUGUCCCUCUACCCAUUAAUGUCAAACAAUGAUGCCUUUCGUCCACCUAGAGUUCAGAUCUUCUAAUUGCCGCCACGCAUUUUUCAAAUGUAAUAUGAACCUUUGAAAUGGCAGGUAUAUAUUAAAUUCAGUGCCCUGUUCCGUGUGUCAAGAAUGUCAUACCCAUACCAAGACUUAUCGCCCCUUCUCUCGCAAGUUAUCUCUAGCUUCGGUGCAAACCGUGUCAUGUGGGGCAGUGAUUUCCCAUAUGUUAUUCCAGAAUGUGGUUAUGCUGGAGCAAAAGAAGCAGCGUCUUCAAUUGCCAGUCAAGUACCAUUAUCAUCUUCUGAGUUGGAGUGGAUCAUGGGUAAAACACUCAUGCAACUCUUCAAAGGUCAAUGGCUGCCAUGAGCAAAUAUCAUCGAACCUUGCAAAUCAUGAUAUUAAGUGUCCAUUUUUUUAUGGAAAUCAUGCAAGGAAUGUUAAUUUCACCCCUUAGAAUGGUCCUGUUUGAUUCGUAAUCUUUCAGAAGUUAUAAAAGUACGCAUGAAAAUAUUGUAUGGAAGUCCAUUCUGUUUCAGGGUCGGAGAGCUCAGGCAGUUUGCGAUGAAAGAACAGAAUACCACACUCGAACAUAUUAUUGAGAAAAAUAUGAAUCUGUUAAACUGAUUAUUUUCUAAUGUUAGGAUGUUGAUCUAUACAAAAUCCUGUUGCUCUAUCAUCGUCAUCAAUUAUCUCCGAGGCGGUGAAAAAAAGACGAGAAAAGAGGGAAAAAAGAAUUAUAAUCUAUAAAUGCUUCGGCAUUGAGUACCUUGAGCCUAUACAACUUGUAAAUGAGCAAUAUACAAAAGAAAAUACAGAACUCGACUGGUUAAUCAUCGAUUCUUUGAAUUUCACCCAUCAUGAUCCGAUUGCUUGUUACUUUAAAACCAAGGAGUGCAGGAUCAAUUUGCCUCCCUUUUUUACCUUUCUUUUUGCCACUUCGGCCCCCUUGUGUACCAUCUGAUGAUUCGGACCCCGCUCCUGUCAUGUGGACCUCUGGAGCAGUGGUCUUCUUGGCAUUACUUUUAAGCAUAUCUAUAAAUGAUGGCUCUGACACAUCAGCAUCCCCACAAGAUGAGGUUCUUCGGAAAGGCACAUCUUUCUUGCCGGAAGCCGUGCUGUCAAUACCAUGGCCCACUGGAUUUCCCCCUGAAGAUUUACAUUCAAAAUUAUUACUCAGGAAUGACCAUCAUACACACAAAUGAACAGCAGAAUUUUAGGGGCAGACCCUCUUCAGUUGUCCCAAUGACAGUUGCAAAGAUCAGCAUAUGUGAAGAAACAUAUUUAAGUGAAUGGUAAAAAGAUAAGAAGCAUACCCUCAACACCACUUGAACUUUUCGCCCUGACAACUGUAUCAGCAGCCAGCUCAGAUAACCCUUCUUGAGAUGAAGAAGCAUGAGAGACAGGUGGUCGCCUCAACAAUAUACUCUCUUGCCCUUUGAAGAGUACAGGCACCUGAUUCAAGUUAAUAUCUUCCGCAAAUGAAUUUUGUUGUCCAAUCUUGUCAUCAUAACAUCCUACAUUCCCACCAGCAAGUAUUUCAUAAAUUUAGAUAACUCUUGAAUACAUUAAAAAAAAAAUCAAGAGAAACUUACCAGGAACACCAAGAGAAGAAUGCCUGCCGAGAACAUUAACUGUAACCUCUCCAUGAUCUGUAGCAGUCAACCGUGCUUGAUCACCUAUGCCAUUGUGAAUCUCAGUAACUGAACUCUUUGCCAUACCCUGCAUUUUGGACCCAUACUUCCUCCCUUCUACGUCUAGGUACUCUCUAUUGAUAGACGACUUAUCAAUGAAGUUAGAAUCCGCGAGAACUGCCUGCGAAGUCUCACUAAUGCCUAACAAUGAUAAAUUUCCCCCACAUGUUGCUCCAGAUUCAGAUCUAAGCAGUAAUUUUUCUGUGUUUCCCAUAUUACUUGCCCGCUCACCAGCUGAAGAAACCUCUGCUAGUUGACAAGUAUUAGAACCAUAAGACCCUAUUGCAAGUGAGUUGUUUAGACUGGCUUCUUGGUCUGAAACAACAGCAAAAAGGUGAUCAGAAGAGCUUGAUCCAGAGUAAAUGCCUGAUGCUGACUUCUUCUCAAAAGACAUUCCAUCAUUCAUCUGUACCGAAUCUGAAGGUUGAUGACCUGAUUUCUGAUGUAGCAAUUCCAUGAACAAUCGCCUUGAUUUGUCAUCAUUCAAUCCAUCUGACAUCCACAAACUUGAAUCUUCAGCAGUCACUUUAAUGUCAGACUCCCUUUUACGCCGUUCAGCAUUGAUGUGCAAUUGUUGAAUUCGGGAUUCCAUCCAGUCGUUUACUAUUGGCCCAUUGCUUUCAGGCCAGCGGCCAUCAAUCGCAUCUAGACGUGAAACAUGGAAUUGGUUAGGAACCAUAGGGUGAUGACGAUCAUGUGGGUGAUUUCCAGAAGACAACGUUCCCACUUGGCCAGCAGAUUGCAUUCGUGUGCUCAACUCCUGCAUAUCUAAACCAUGAGCACAAGCCAUAGCAUUUACAACAUCCAUAUUCAUUCCUGAAGCACCAGCAGGCAAGGACAGGGACCUCUCAAACAGCAAUGAGCCCGGCUCAUAAAGCCCUUGCCGAAGUCGGUCUUGAAAUGAAAGAUUUUGCUCAAGGUGGCUCAACUGGUCCUCAUGUGGUGGCCUCUGCUGCUGCUGCUGCUGCU
RNAcentral lists this unclassified non-coding RNA (5451 nucleotides) under Hevea brasiliensis (rubber tree). Lineage: Eukaryota; Viridiplantae; Streptophyta; Magnoliopsida; Malpighiales; Euphorbiaceae. The record is from RNAcentral.